GAACCAAUAGUAGAAACAAGGAGAAAAGAUGGAGAAAAGAAGGAGAAAAUGAAGAAGAGGACACAGCACCCGACCCCAGCCGAAGCUAGGGCCGGUGCCACCUAAGAGCCUGGAAGAAGAUCUCACAGAAGUACUCUCACAGCAGAGAGAAAGAAACUCUCACAGAGGAGAGAACUAAAUUUUUUAAAUGCUUGGUUUACAUUUAAAAUUUGCAUAUCCCAUUAAAGAUACUGUUAUGUUAUGUAUAUGUUUAGCAUCGAGUCUGGUCCAUUUAACAUGAUGGCUUGUUUCCCAAUAACAAGGAGAAAUAAAAUCUACGACAAGCAAUUCAGUCCUUUCUUGAUUGGGUUGGCACCUUUAAAGUGAAGAGUAGUAAAUGAACCUACCAUAUUAUAAAGUGAAGAGUAGUAAAUGAACCUACCAUAUUAAAAAGAGACUUGCCUAUACUCUUAAAUGUCAUUGUGUCGUUAAUCCAAAACAAUAUAUAACGCGUUAUUGAUUUGAAAUAAUACAACAAUAACAUCAUCAGCGUAAAUAAGUCAUCUUCCCAAUCAAUUUAUUUGUAUAACAUGCAUAAUGGAAUAUCUGAUCCAGACUCGAGAGAAAGAUUUGUGAUGAAAUAAGAUGGUCCAGAUCAGAUCAUAUAACUGGGAAAUUGACUUACAUACUUGUGUAUUAUAGCUAGGCUGAUUUUUACAUGAUAGGCCUUAAUAUGAGUAGUCCUCUUGAAACCAUCUUUUCUCAUGGGUUGUUUACAUGCAAAUAUUGGAAAAGCAUUUUCAGUGCCAACAUAUAUAAUCUCAGAUAUGCAACAUAUGGACCACAUUUCCAACAUAGUAUGUCUGAAUGUAAACCCCUCCUCACCCAAAUGCAUUAUCUAACUUGAAUGCAUCGAUCUUUCGUAUUUAUUUGUGUAAAAUCCACACCAAAACAUGAAAUGCAGCAAAAUAUAGCAGUAGAUCAUCAAUAAUUAGCCACAUCGAUCUCUCCUGAUUUAGUAAUUAAUUAAUCAUGUAAAACAAAAAGAAUAAAUCAUGCUCCAAACAUAAUGGAACUGAUAUACUGAAAUUUUGGCAAGUGGACAAUUAAUCUAAUGAGAAUAUUUAGGGGAAAACUUAGUUGGCUUGUUAGACGUAGGGAGUCAUUUCUUUUUAAAUAACGAAGUGACAAUAUUUGAUUGUACAAACGUUAGUCAUUCAUAAGCGUUGAACUAAUUGACGGUUAUAAUAACAAGUAACUUCUUUGUGAUGAAAUGUCUAUUUUUUAAAAUUAAUAGAUAACUAGACAAUCUCUAAAUCUAAUGAAUUUUUUCUAGAGUCUUAUAGUUAUAGUAAAAUGAUGGUUCUUUCCUUAUAUGUAAGAAGUCAAUCAAUGUUUGUGAAUUGAGAUCCUAGAAUGUCCAUUUUGCAACCAAACGAAACCCUAAUAGCUAUGGGUGAGCAUGUAACAUGAGGCUUUUUUUUGCCGGACAUUAUUUGAAAUUACUCUAAUCUAUAAGAAGAGACUUAAGUGUAAAAAAAAAAACAUGCACAAAACGUACUUUAACCAGCUGACCAAACCUACGUCUAUUCAACAUGAGCCGCUUAGAAUAAUAUCAAGUUCGGUUCCAACUACCAUGACCCAAGCCCAAGACGAGCAGUGGUGGGCCCAAAUCAGUCACAUUGUUAGUUAGGCUAAGAUGGAGUUGAGUUUGAGUAGGGUUUUUUUGUCAAAUUUGGUUCUUGGUUUGCUGAAUGCUGAGGUUCCGAAUAACUUUAGCUUAACUACUUUUCUGCUUUAGUUGUUUCAAAACAGCCAACUGCUCCUCAUUCCCUUCCCCACCCAACCCUAACAAACAAGAUUAAAUGGUGAUCUAGUGAAGUGGUUCACAGAAAUUUCCUACAGGACCCACCACGAGCGACAGAAACUACACCUGACGUGACAGGGCCCAUCAAAUGUGUCCACGUUCAUCACGGGCCAGGCCCCACCACCGUUUUUGCCCCUGCAUCCACUUUUGUCCUGGAAUUUUCUUCACUAACCUACAAUACGAAUACUCGUAUGACAUAAGUAUACUACUAUUAUAACGUUUCGUAAAAUUAAUGCAACGCUGGAUAUAAGUUUUAUUUUACACAAUGUUAUAUUAUUGACGUGUAACGGCCCAAUAGCGGUCUACUCUUUGUAUAAAUUUUUGUUCUAUAAUACGUACUCUUGUAUUCAUAAAAGUGGGGUCUGUAAACUAUUUACAUGCAGAACGCUAAAAGAAAAAACUAGGUAUAUUUACAGCGAAGCAUGGGCACCGACACACGAUUCAAAUAUGAUAUAUAUAGGGGUGUGAUAUCC
Molecule: long non-coding RNA, 2319 nt
Filed under: Malus domestica (apple)
Lineage: Eukaryota; Viridiplantae; Streptophyta; Magnoliopsida; Rosales; Rosaceae
Description: long non-coding RNA (MDOM_LNC004077)
Source: RNAcentral